UGGCGAACGGGUGAGUAACGCGUGAGGAACCUGCCUCAAAGAGGGGGACAACAGUUGGAAACGACUGCUAAUACCGCAUAAGCCCACGGCUCGGCAUCGAGCAGAGGGAAAAGGAGCAAUCCGCUUUGAGAUGGCCUCGCGUCCGAUUAGCUAGUUGGUGAGGUAACGGCCCACCAAGGCGACGAUCGGUAGCCGGACUGAGAGGUUGAACGGCCACAUUGGGACUGAGACACGGCCCAGACUCCUACGGGAGGCAGCAGUGGGGAAUAUUGCACAAUGGGGGAAACCCUGAUGCAGCGGCGCCCGCGUGGAGGAAGAAGGUCUUCGGAUUGUAAACUCCUGUUGUUGGGGAAGAUAAUGACGGUACCCAACAAGGAAGUGACGGCUAACUACGUGCCAGCAGCCGCGGUAAAACGUAGGUCACAAGCGUUGUCCGGAAUUACUGGGUGUAAAGGGAGCGCAGGCGGGAAGACAAGUUGGAAGUGAAAUCUAUGGGCUCAACCCAUAAACUGCUUUCAAAACUGUUUUUCUUGAGUAGUGCAGAGGUAGGCGGAAUUCCCGGUGUAGCGGUGGAAUGCGUAGAUAUCGGGAGGAACACCAGUGGCGAAGGCGGCCUACUGGGCACCAACUGACGCUGAGGCUCGAAAGUGUGGGUAGCAAACAGGAUUAGAUACCCUGGUAGUCCACACCGUAAACGAUGAUUACUAGGUGUUGGAGGAUUGACCCCUUCAGUGCCGCAGUUAACACAAUAAGUAAUCCACCUGGGGAG
Molecule: ribosomal RNA, 769 nt
Filed under: uncultured bacterium
Lineage: Bacteria
Description: bacterial SSU rRNA
Rfam family: Bacterial small subunit ribosomal RNA
Source: RNAcentral